RNAcentral lists this transfer RNA (75 nucleotides) under Cellvibrionales bacterium UBA2618. RNAcentral's name for it is "tRNA-Arg(cct)". It matches the Rfam family "tRNA". From Rfam's summary of the family: Transfer RNA (tRNA) molecules are approximately 80 nucleotides in length. Their secondary structure includes four short double-helical elements and three loops (D, anti-codon, and T loops). Further hydrogen bonds mediate the characteristic L-shaped molecular structure. tRNAs have two regions of fundamental functional importance: the anti-codon, which is responsible for specific mRNA codon recognition, and the 3' end, to which the tRNAs corresponding amino acid is attached (by aminoacyl-tRNA synthetases). tRNAs cope with the degeneracy of the genetic code in two manners: having more than one tRNA (with a specific anti-codon) for a particular amino acid; and 'wobble' base-pairing, i.e. permitting non-standard base-pairing at the 3rd anti-codon position. Lineage: Bacteria; Pseudomonadati; Pseudomonadota; Gammaproteobacteria; Cellvibrionales. The record is from RNAcentral. RNAcentral also lists the same sequence under 2 other names.
GGUCCCUUAGUUUAAUGGAUAAAACAAGGACCUCCUAAGUCUUAGAUGCAAGUUCGAUUCUUGCAGGGACCGCCA